This 254-nucleotide ribosomal RNA is filed under the name uncultured bacterium. RNAcentral's name for it is "partial 16S ribosomal RNA". It matches the Rfam family "Bacterial small subunit ribosomal RNA", at positions 524 to 776 of the family's 1533-position model. The record is from RNAcentral.
UACGUAGGGUGCGAGCGUUGUCCGGAAUUACUGGGCGUAAAGAGCGCGCAGGCGGUCGUUCAAGUCGCGUGUGAAAGCCCCCCGGCUCAACUGGGGAGGGUCACGCGAUACUGAUCGACUCGAAGGCAGGAGAGGGUAGUGGAAUUCCCGGUGUAGUGGUGAAAUGCGUAGAUAUCGGGAGGAACACCAGUGGCGAAGGCGACUACCUGGCCUGUUCUUGACGCUGAGGCGCGAAAGCUAGGGGAGCAAACGGG